RNAcentral lists this long non-coding RNA (273 nucleotides) under Manihot esculenta (cassava). Its description in RNAcentral is "long non-coding RNA (MESC_LNC008585)". The record is from RNAcentral. Lineage: Eukaryota; Viridiplantae; Streptophyta; Magnoliopsida; Malpighiales; Euphorbiaceae.
CUUACACACAGUACCCAGCUUAUCCACCCUCACCCUUCUAUCCUAACCCGGCAAACCCCACCUCGGGGAAUGCUGCACCCCCACCUCCACCACCUACAGAACCAGCAGCCCCAGUUACUCAACCUUCUAGACCUAGCUCAGCCGGUGGGAGCAAAGUAAAGAUGACAGAUUACCUUAAGCUGGAUGCUCCCAAAUACAAGUCAGGGGAUGAUCCCUUUGAGUACCUGAGAGUAGUGAAGACAAUAACUGAUGAACUAGGGGCAGAUGACAGCA